CCUACGGGAGGCAGCAGUGAGGAAUAUUGGUCAAUGGACGAGAGUCUGAACCAGCCAAGUAGCGUGAAUGAUGACUGCCCUAUGGGUUGUAAACUUCUUUUAUAUGGGAAUAAAACGUUCCACGUGUGGGAUUUUGUAUGUACCAUAUGAAUAAGGAUCGGCUAACUCCGUGCCAGCAGCCGCGGUAAUACGGUGGAUCCGAGCGUUAUCCGGAUUUAUUGGGUUUAAAGGGAGCGUAGGUGGAUUGUUAAGUCAGGUGUGAAAGUUUGCUGCUCAACCGUAAAAUUGCAGUUGAAACUGGCAGUCUUGAGUACAGUAGAGGUGGGCGGAAUUCGAGGUGUAGCGGUGAAAUGCUUAGAGAUGACGAAGAACUCCGAGGGCGAAGGUAGUUCACUGGACUGCAACUGACACUGAGGCUCGAAAGUGUGGGUAUCAAACAGGAUUAGAUACCCUUGUAGUC
Molecule: ribosomal RNA, 460 nt
Filed under: uncultured bacterium
Lineage: Bacteria
Description: partial 16S ribosomal RNA
Rfam family: Bacterial small subunit ribosomal RNA
Source: RNAcentral